UACGUAGGGAGCAAGCGUUGUCCGGAAUCAUUGGGCGUAAAGCGCGCGUAGGUGGCUUCGUAAGUCCGUUGUGAAAGUCAAAGGCUCAACCUUUGAAAGCCGAUGGAUACUGCGGAGCUAGAGUACGGAAGAGGCGAGUGGAAUUCCUGGUGUAGCGGUGAAAUGCGCAGAUAUCAGGAGGAACACCGGUGGCGAAGGCGGUGGUCUGGGCUGGCACUGACGCUGAGGAGCGAAAGCGUGGGUAGCAAACAGG
Molecule: ribosomal RNA, 253 nt
Filed under: uncultured bacterium
Lineage: Bacteria
Description: partial 16S ribosomal RNA
Rfam family: Bacterial small subunit ribosomal RNA
Source: RNAcentral